GAACGAAACUUCUUUAUCACCGAGUGCUUGCACUCACCGAUAAAGAGUUGAGUGGCGAACGGGUGAGUAACACGUGGGCAACCUGCCCAAAAGAGGGGGAUAACACUUGGAAACAGGUGCUAAUACCGCAUAACCAUAGUUACCGCAUGGUAACUAUGUAAGAGGUGGCUAUGCUACCGCUUUUGGAUGGGCCCGCGGCGCAUUAGCUAGUUGGUGGGGUAAAGGCUUACCAAGGCAAUGAUGCGUAGCCGAACUGAGAGGUUGAUCGGCCACAUUGGGACUGAGACACGGCCCAAACUCCUACGGGAGGCAGCAGUAGGGAAUCUUCCACAAUGGGCGAAAGCCUGAUGGAGCAACGCCGCGUGGGUGAAGAAGGUCUUCGGAUCGUAAAACCCUGUUGUUAGAGAAGAAAGUGCGUGAGAGUAACUGUUCACGUUUCGACGGUAUCUAACCAGAAAGCCACGGCUAACUACGUGCCAGCAGCCGCGGUAAUACGUAGGUGGCAAGCGUUAUCCGGAUUUAUUGGGCGUAAAGGGAACGCAGGCGGUCUU
RNAcentral lists this ribosomal RNA (551 nucleotides) under uncultured bacterium. RNAcentral describes it as "bacterial SSU rRNA". It matches the Rfam family "Bacterial small subunit ribosomal RNA", at positions 64 to 582 of the family's 1533-position model. The record is from RNAcentral.